GUAAUGGACAAAGGAUCCCUAAAAGGUGAUGCUGUUGGUUUAGUUAUAUGAGGGGUUAAUACCGGAAUACCACUAAUAUCAAACCCAUCCAGUACAAGGUUUCCCCUGUUUACCCCUUGGUCCUCAUUUUCUGCAAUACCAGAUGCCUCUUCUUCCUCUGCACACAUAUCCCCAUGGCCACAUACAGCAACUGGGGUUUGUGCAGCUAAACCUGUUCUAAGCGAUGAAAUUAGCUCUCCUCUCGCUUCAUAAUUGUCCUCUAAUGUACUUACAUAUUCUGCAUUUAAGCCACAAGUUGGACAAUCA
Non-coding RNA from Pelobates cultripes (western spadefoot toad), 306 nucleotides. The record is from the annotation of a GenBank genome assembly. NCBI's taxonomy places the organism in Eukaryota, Metazoa, Chordata, Amphibia, Anura, Pelobatidae.